AAAUGUAACAUUAUGUUAUCCUAAUUCAUACAUCAAAUAUAAUACGUUACAUGUUCAGUGGGUUGUUUGUAUAAAAGUUAAUUUGUUCUAUAAGUUGUAUGGGCUGGUAAGUUGUAUGGGCCUUGGGCUUAUUUGUGUGUUAAGUGUGCAGUAUUGGAAGAUUAGGGGGCAAAGUGAAACAUGGGCUGUUGCUGUUAUAAAAAAGGAAAAGUUAAGUGUAUCUGGAUGAUUCUUACACGCCUGUUUCUCUCUUAUCUCACCUACCUAUCCUUCUUUAGUCGGUUACAAGUUGUUCAAGCAGCUGUUACAAGUCGCUGAUGAUGUUUAUGAUCCAAUGUGGAUCUUAUUUCAGUUGUUGAUCCUUCGUGUGGAUCUGUGGUUACUAUAGAUCCUGUGGAUCUCUGUUUUGGUUGUAUUGUCCUUGUUAAUCAACUGAUAAUCAUCAGUUGAUUAUUUAUUAUUUCUUGUACUGUUUGUAUUUUGGAUCUUACAGUUUGUAAGGUCUUGGGCGUUGGGUGUUUUUCGGUUUGGGUAACUAAUAAGAUUUUUACGUCACGUUUUGUCGCUUCUUUUGUGUUUCUUGUUGUUUCUGUGUUUGUAUUGUGAGUCUUUCAUACCAUUUUGACAUGGUAUCAGAGCCACAGGCUCUUGAUUCGUUGUUUUUUUUUUCAAAGUUUUGUUAAUAAUAAAAACCCUUAUUUGUUCAUUUGAUUCAUGGAUCUGAAGUGUUGGGUUUAUUAUUGUUUGAGUAUUUCUGAUCUUGGGGUUCAACCGUGUUUUGAGUUUUUAAGUGCUCUUGUGACUUAGUGGUUGUUCGAUUCUAGUGUCUUCCGCUGCAAGAGUGAUUCGUCUUUUAGGGUUUCUUUCGUCUUGAACCCUAGAUUUUUUGUUUGUCUCGUUGUCGAUUGGUUUAGGGUUCAAUCACACAUUUUCAAUCCUAAGUCGAAGGUUCUCCUGAUAUUUGGUGUUCUAGCACUGUUCGUUGUACAAAACCCUAGCUCAAGCAGUCUCUGAAAAAACAGCACAUCUUGAUUCGCUGGUCUCUUUGGCAAGGUUAUUGUGGAAAAGGGACGUUAAUAUAUUGUUGUCAAUUUGGGCUUGUUCAAGUUGAAACUGCUGAUCCGUGUUUAGAGUGUUGUACCCAGGGUUUCUAGCGACCUGAAUAUGAUCUAUUGUUCUUUUCACAGUAAAUCCAAAAUUACCACUUGGAUGCUUUGUUUGGGGUUGUCUAUGUUGUCCAAAAGAUGUAGUAUGACUUGUUCAAAUGAACUCCAUUGUUUUAUUAAGGUAAAAUGGUUUUUUGAAAUAAGUGUGUUGCUAUGUUAACCAAAAGAUUGAUAUAUCUAAUUUCAUGAGCACUCAUGUUUAUAAUAUGAUAUUAGUUCUUGAUGUGUUGAUGUCUGUUGCUUGUAUGUUGUUCAUCAAUUAGUGAGUAACAUCUUGGUCAUUGAAUUCAUGUUGUUCACGGCCUGUCUUGUUAUCAUGUUUCUUAAACGCAAAUGUUGUUGUUUUGUGUGGUGUGAAUCUUUAUCUUGGAUCAUGUGAUUCAACUCUGUUUUUUUGGACUGUCUAAGUGUCUCCUAGGCAUUGUCCGUAUGUCUUAUUGUAUUUUGUUGUAUAAUUAGUCAAACCAUGUGGUUUGAGUGUUCUCUAAUCUGUUGUUUUGCCAAGAUUGCUCUUGAUAUCUGUUUGUAUCUGUCUUGUUAUGAGAUCUAUAUGUUGAGAAUUUUUGUCUUGAAUGUUGUUAAAUUGUCUUUUGUUUGCAGUCUCUAUGUCUGCUUGUCUUUAAUCUUGUUUGGGUGGUUAGUUGAACUGUGUGGUUCAUGUUUAACCAUCAGUGUUGUCAAGAUUUGUUUUAUAUGUGACAGCCUUGUAUGUUAUCUCAAGUGAGAUGUAUUUUUCCUGAUUGCAAAUUGUGUAAUUGUGUGUUGAAUCAGGAUGUCUUUGGCUGUGUCUUGUUGUCUUGUGUAUGUCUCAGUAUUCUUAGCCUUGUGAGUGAGAUAUUAAAUCAUGUGGUUUUGUAUUUCAUUAUUUGUUUAGGCUGAAAUUGUUGUCUGAUAUAGAAGUGUGUACUUCACGUUUAUUUGUGUUGAUAUGAAUCUUGUGAUUCCAUAUUUCUUGAAAAGCUAUAAAAGUUUUUUAUCAAGUCAAAUUUGACUUUGAGUUCUUCACAAGUAUAAUUGUUUGGACUUGGUUCCAAGUUCUUAAAAGUCAUGUGUUUUUUAGUUUAUAUGAUAUACCUGUGGUAUUGUUGGUGAAUUGUGUGAUUCAUUGUUUUCAGACUUUGUUCUGUGUUAUGUUGUUUUUUUGUGAACCUCUAGUUUAUUAGAAAUGUUUCUGAAAAAAUUCUAGUAUUCUAUUGUAGUCUAACCGUUUUUGAAUCGUGUGAUUCAAUUUUGUGGUCAUGUCUUGUGCUAUUGUAAAGGUUUUUUUGGUAAAAUCAAACGAGUCUUUAUGAUUUCUUGACUAGUUUUUUUUGUUCAGAUAUGGGUCUGAAAUUUUUAGACAUGCGACUUUGUGUAUCGUUUAAGUAGUUGAUUCUUUUGAUUGUAGAGUCAAAGUCUAUUGUUCAAUUAAAAUCUCUAAAUCUUGUCAUAUGUGAAUUCUUGUUAUAAUAGUUUUUGUAUGGUUGAAGAUUCAUGCUAUUCUUGUUCGUUUUAGACCUAGUUGAGAGUUGUGAAUAUUGUUCGAUAUUGUGCUGAUUGUUUAGUUUAUGGGUCUUUGUUUGUCAGGGUUGCUUCUUGAUUUAUCUGAGUCUUUAUUAGAUUAGUUUACGAGCGUGAUAAAUGGUUAUCGAAUCCUGUGUUUUUUUUUACAGAAUCGUUCUGCAUCAUGUGAUAACUUCUUGGCUUCAAUACUGUUAAAAUUGUUUUCUGCAUAUGAUCCGUAUAUCAUAUUGUAUUAUUGUCAUAUCUCAUGAUUUGAAUAGGUUUAAUGUGGUAUGAGUUCAAGCUUGUCUCUUGUGUGUAUGUAGUCUUAGCCUUGUAUUUUUCUCUUCUGUAAGAGAUGUGUUUCUAGUUGUGUAUUUUGCUAGAGUCUGUGUUGGUUAUCAUUGUAUGGUAUUUUUUAAAUCAUAUCAGUUUAUCUGGUCUGUUGUCUGUUUGUUAUGAAGAGUUUUUUGAUUAGUUGUUAUUGUUUGUGUUGUUCUACUUCAAGGAAUCUCAUAUCUACUUCUCAUGUCUUGUCUUGUCUUAUAACGGACUAAACAUUUUGAGAUCGAUUUGCAUUUUCUGAGAGAAAAGAUUGCAAAUGGUAUUGUUCUUCCUGAGAAAGUUGUGUUGUUUCUGAUGAUCAGUAGAUGAUCAGUUGGCAUACCUAUUCACGAAAGGGUUGAAUGGGUUUCAACAUCAGGAUUUAUGUGAAAAGUUGGGAAUGGUUAAUGUGUUUGCUGUAUGAAUUAUGGGGGGAUGUUAAAAUGUAACAUUAUGUUAUCCUAAUUCAUACAUCAAAUAUAAUACGUUACAUGUUCAGUGGGUUGUUUGUAUAAAAGUUAAUUUGUUCUAUAAGUUGUAUGGGCUGGUAAGUUGUAUGGGCCUUGGGCUUAUUUGUGUGUUAAGUGUGCAGUAUUGGAAGAUUAGGGGGCAAAGUGAAACAUGGGCUGUUGCUGUUAUAAAAAAGGAAAAGUUAAGUGUAUCUGGAUGAUUCUUACACGCCUGUUUCUCUCUUAUCUCACCUACCUAUCCUUCUUUAGUCGGUUACAAGUUGUUCAAGCAGCUGUUACAAGUCGCUGAUGAUGUUUAUGAUCCAAUGUGGAUCUUAUUUCAGUUGUUGAUCCUUCGUGUGGAUCUGUGGUUACUAUAGAUCCUGUGGAUCUCUGUUUUGGUUGUAUUGUCCUUGUUAAUCAACUGAUAAUCAUCAGUUGAUUAUUUAUUAUUUCUUGUACUGUUUGUAUUUUGGAUCUUACAGUUUGUAAGGUCUUGGGCGUUGGGUGUUUUUCGGUUUGGGUAACUAAUAAGAUUUUUACGUCACGUUUUGUCGCU
Long non-coding RNA from Helianthus annuus (common sunflower), 3980 nucleotides. RefSeq lists it as uncharacterized. NCBI's taxonomy places the organism in Eukaryota, Viridiplantae, Streptophyta, Magnoliopsida, Asterales, Asteraceae. The record is from RefSeq and is a predicted model, not a curated record. The transcript has 2 exons.